GAUUUUAGCUCUUUAAGCCUUCCAAAACGAGAGGAAAGAAAAUCCUAUAUGGGCUCAAGGCCCAGUCAGACUUGGCGUAGCCAUCGGUCGCUCCUUGCGCCGCUGUACGCUGCGCCCAAAUCCUGUUUCUCUCCUGUUACCCCUCACCAAAGCCUUCCUCUGGUCUUCCCAACAGAGGUUGCUGCCGUCGCUGCUGCUGGUGGUGGUUGCCGCCGCCGUGAGCCGCGAGGUUGCUGCUCUCCCCGACGCAUCUCCUCUCCGUGGUCGUUGCCGAGCAGGGGUGGCUGCUGGGCGUCGUGUCGCUAGCAGUGUUGGUACUUCUGGUUCAGGAUCCUUUAACCCACAAGUUGUGCCCC
Long non-coding RNA from Triticum dicoccoides, 356 nucleotides. RefSeq lists it as uncharacterized. The transcript is spliced from 2 exons. Lineage: Eukaryota; Viridiplantae; Streptophyta; Magnoliopsida; Poales; Poaceae. The record is from RefSeq and is a predicted model, not a curated record.